GGACGAGCCUCUGGAGAGACUCAUAUUUAUUAUGAGCACCGAAGGAGCAAGGCAAAUUUUAUUUGCUGAAACUCUCAGGUAAAAGGACAGGGGAUAGGAU
RNAcentral lists this non-coding RNA (100 nucleotides) under Clostridium botulinum. RNAcentral describes it as "Glycine sequence". It matches the Rfam family "Glycine riboswitch aptamer". Rfam says of the family: This family represents the bacterial glycine riboswitch. Glycine riboswitches usually consist of two metabolite-binding aptamers domains with similar structures in tandem. The record is from RNAcentral. Lineage: Bacteria; Bacillati; Bacillota; Clostridia; Eubacteriales; Clostridiaceae.